Molecule: ribosomal RNA, 512 nt
Filed under: uncultured bacterium
Lineage: Bacteria
Description: partial 16S ribosomal RNA
Rfam family: Bacterial small subunit ribosomal RNA
Source: RNAcentral
GACGAACGCUGGCGGCGUGCCUAAUACAUGCAAGUCGAGCGAAUCUGAGGGAGCUUGCUCCCAAAGGUUAGCGGCGGACGGGUGAGUAACACGUGGGCAACCUGCCUAUAAGACUGGGAUAACUUCGGGAAACCGGAGCUAAUACCGGAUAAUUCUUUUCUACACAUGUAGGAAAGCUGAAAGACGGUUUCGGCUGUCACUUAUAGAUGGGCCAGCGGCGCAUUAGCUAGUUGGUGAGGUAACGGCUCACCAAGGCGACGAUGCGUAGCCGACCUGAGAGGGUGAUCGGCCACACUGGGACUGAGACACGGCCCAGACUCCUACGGGAGGCAGCAGUAGGGAAUCUUCCGCAAUGGACGAAAGUCUGACGGAGCAACGCCGCGUGAGUGAUGAAGGUUUUCGGAUCGUAAAACUCUGUUGUUAGGGAAGAACAAGUACUAGAGUAACUGCUAGUACCUUGACGGUACCUAACCAGAAAGCCACGGCUAACUACGUGCCAGCAGCCGCAGUAA